CAGCCGCCACGGUAAUACGUAGGUGGCAAGCGUUGUCCGGAAUCAUUGGGCGUAAAGCGCGCGCAGGUGGUUCCUUAAGUCUGAUGUGAAAGCCCACGGCUCAACCGUGGAGGGUCAUUGGAAACUGGGGGACUUGAGUGCAGAAGAGGGAAGUGGAAUUCCAAGUGUAGCGGUGAAAUGCGUAGAUAUUUGGAGGAACACCAGUGGCGAAGGCGACUUUCUGGUCUGUAACUGACACUGAGGCGCGAAAGCGUGGGGAGCAAACAGGAUUAGAUACCCCAGUAGUCCCUGUCUCUUAUAC
Molecule: ribosomal RNA, 301 nt
Filed under: uncultured bacterium
Lineage: Bacteria
Description: partial 16S ribosomal RNA
Rfam family: Bacterial small subunit ribosomal RNA
Source: RNAcentral